AGACUUAGCAUACCUUAAACAUGUUGAGUCCUUAAUUCCUUCCAAGUGACUCUUCAAACAAGUCAACUCGAUCUAUCAUAGCAUAAGGAGAUUCAAAAUUAGUGUUGAGCAAAGGCCAUUAACUUGAGCUAGUAGCUCAUUUUACUUAAAUUUGGGCAGCAUCUCCUUUGUAACAAGGGCCUCCUCCUAUACCAUAUAAAAACAACAACAACAGCAACCAUAGAAGUCCAUCAACGUAUAAAUUUCAAUAACAAGACACCACAUAACAAUAAUAAGUCACAACUACUUCACGACGAGGCGGCAAGCUCCAAUUGGAAUUCGUAUAACCCAUCUACUCCUUAUAGACUUCUUACAUUAAGUUAAAGGUAUCAUCAACAUGAUAAUAAAGUCAUUCAUCAAUAAUUCCAUCCUUAUACCAUAUAUUUAUAACAAAGGAAACAACUCAAACUCUAACUACCUUCGAUUAGUAACUUUAUUCACUAGUUGAUAUCUACUCCAUCCAUUUAACUUAAUCAACAUCAAUAUAACCUUAGGCACAUGCAAGAACACAAUAUACCUUCCUCCUAAAGUAACUUCAAGUUGAAAUCCAAGUUUUAUUUAGCAUAAAAUAACCCUCAAUGUCAAUAUAACACCAUAGAAGUGACUUAAGCUAAUCCAAGUAUUAUCUUGUAGUGUAUCAUCCUAACAACUUAACCAACAUACAAGCAAGCUUAAGCACAAUUAGUAGGCUGCUAUACUCACCUUAGACAACAGCAACAACUUGGAAUUUCAUCCAAAUAUAGCCCACAAUCAUCCUCAAUGACAACACAACCUCAAAGAGGUGUUGUUCUUCACUAGGACUAGGUUUUGAUGUUGAAAUAUGGUGUAAUCCAUUUGAAUGACAUGAAAUAAUCUAGGGUUGAUAUAACAACCAUGAGAGAUUAUUUUACAGAAUAUAAAAUACUUAAUAUAACCUCCCAUACGAGCUUGAACCACCUAAAAUUCAGCAACAACAAGAACAAUAAGAGACUUACUAGAUCCACGAGAUUUCCGAUACUUGAUUUGUGUUGUUUGCCCUUUGUUUGGGUAUUAAAUCCUGAGAGAACCUUGAGAAGGUGUUCCUAGGGUUAUAAGUUCUGAAAAUGGUGAAACAAAACGACUUAAAACGGGUUGUAUGUGCCCUAUAUAAAUCCAAAUGUCUUAACCCACCUUAAGUGGGACCCCUAGAGAGGUGCUUGGCGCAGUCUCGCGAAAAAGCGAAUAUCUCUCUACUACCAUGUCGUAUGGAUGAACGGUUUACUCGUUGGAAACUAGACUUGUAUAUAUUAAAUUUGGUAUAUAGAUCAUUCUUGUAUUCUAAUAAUAUUGGGAGAAAAGUUCAUAUACAUUUGACCUAAAUUUCAGCAAAUUUAUGAGUGUAACUUAUGAUAACCUUUGCCAACUCUUGUUCCACAGCUUGCUUAAAUAAAAUUGCAAGAGUAUAGAGCACUAAUUAGUUGUGAACAAAUGGGCAAAUAGUGAGAAACAUAAAAUCUCACAAAUGAUUAACAUAAAAUCUCAUAAAUGAUUAAGUAACAACAAUUGAGGGAGAAUAGUGAAAACCAAAUAUCCGGUGCAUCAGAGUUCACAAGUGCCUUAAGAUACGCUCCGAGCAGGGCUAGGAGGUCGUUAAAACAUCACAAUGGCCUUGGCUUUCAGUCGGCCACUGAAUAAUUAGAUAUAAUAGUUUCAGAGCAUAAGAGAGUAAGUGAAGUGAGAGAGACAAUAGUGAUUAAGAUCCGUCCUUAGGAGUAUUGGGGGAGGAGUUUAUAUAGUUCUCAAAGUACCCAAAUCAAAAAAAAAAAAAAACAUCAAUCAAAUUACGAAAGUAAGGAAAGAAUCUCAUGUAAAUCGAUUCUGAACCGAAUUAGGGCUUAAUCAAGCAAACCCCAGACGAAGAAUAAAAAAUAGCCAAAAAUCUGGUUGAGAAGAACAUAUGUGACCUUGCCUUGGAUGUGUUGGACCAAGAAUAAAGCAGAUAUUUAGAAUCAAAGCCAUAAAGAACUUCCAUAAAUAAAUCGGCACCAAAUGAACCAAGCCAUGAAUUAGAGAAGUAACAUUUUGGACUCGAGUAAAGGAAAAUGGAUGAUCUCCAUGUCGGACUGUAUUUGGGAUACGGAUGAGGCGGCUAGGUUUUAGGAGAGAGGUAGAGCGUGUGAGGGUGACGGACACCAGGGGAAUGGUCCUUAGGAUUUGGGAUUGGGUUUGUAAGUAAGGGGAGAUGGUUUAAAAAUCGUGUCCCAACCAGGUUGAGGGUAAAGGGGUCGUUUCGCUUGGCCAAGAAUUUUUGGCCG
Molecule: long non-coding RNA, 2312 nt
Filed under: Nicotiana benthamiana
Lineage: Eukaryota; Viridiplantae; Streptophyta; Magnoliopsida; Solanales; Solanaceae
Description: long non-coding RNA (NBEN_LNC035034)
Source: RNAcentral